This 73-nucleotide transfer RNA is filed under the name Stegodyphus mimosarum. It matches the Rfam family "tRNA". Rfam says of the family: Transfer RNA (tRNA) molecules are approximately 80 nucleotides in length. The record is from Rfam by way of RNAcentral. Lineage: Eukaryota; Metazoa; Arthropoda; Arachnida; Araneae; Eresidae.
GCUUUCCUGGUGUAAUGGUCAACACACUUGGCGCGUAUUCGAGAGGUCCGUGGUUCGAGUCCCGGCGAGGGUA